GACAUUGUUAAAAAAAAAAAAGCAAACAUGUACAUAAUGGUCUAUUUCUAAAAUAUCAACAACAUAUGUGUUUGUCAGUGAGUGUUUUUCAAAUCUGUGAGACUGUGUGUGUGUCAGUGAGUGUUUCUGUCAGUGAGUGUGAUUCAAAUCAGGGAGAUUGUGUGGCUGUCAUUGAGAGUGUGUCUGUCUGUCUGUCAGUGAGUGUGUGUUUGGCAGUAUCUGUCAGUGAGUGAGUGUGUUUCAAAUCAGUGAGAUUGUGUUUGUCAUUGAGAGUGUGUGUCUGCCAGUGUGCAUCUGUCAAUGUGUUUCUCUCAGUGAGCGUGUGUUACUAUCAGUGAGUGUGUGUCUGAUUAGAAAAAUG
Non-coding RNA from Pelobates cultripes (western spadefoot toad), 361 nucleotides. The record is from the annotation of a GenBank genome assembly. Lineage: Eukaryota; Metazoa; Chordata; Amphibia; Anura; Pelobatidae.